GAUGAACGCUGGCGGCGUGCUUAACACAUGCAAGUCGAACGGAAAGGCCGAAGCUUGCUUCGGUACUCGAGUGGCGAACGGGUGAGUAACACGUGGGUGAUCUGCCCUGGACUGUGGGAUAAGGUUGGGAAACUGGGUCUAAUACCGGAUAUGAUGAUCUCUUGGAUGGGGUUGUGGAAAGCUUUUGCGGUAUGGGAUGAGCUCGCGGCAUAGAAGCUUGUUGGUGGGGUAAUGGCCUACCAAGGCGUCGACGGGUAGCCGGCCUGAGAGGGUGUACGGCCACAUUGUGACUGAGAUAGUGCCCAGACUCCUACGAGAGGCAGCAGUGGGGAAUAUUGCACAAUGGGCGCAAGCCUGAUGCAGCGACGCCGCGUGGGGGAUGACGGCCUUCGGGUUGUAAACUCCUUUCGCAAUCGACGAAGCCUUUUGGUGACGGUAGGUUGAGAAUAAGCACCGGCUAACUACGUG
This 468-nucleotide ribosomal RNA is filed under the name uncultured bacterium. RNAcentral's name for it is "partial 16S ribosomal RNA". It matches the Rfam family "Bacterial small subunit ribosomal RNA", at positions 28 to 507 of the family's 1533-position model. The record is from RNAcentral.